Solanum dulcamara is the source of this 1397-nucleotide long non-coding RNA. RefSeq lists it as uncharacterized. The transcript has 2 exons. The record is from RefSeq and is a predicted model, not a curated record. NCBI's taxonomy places the organism in Eukaryota, Viridiplantae, Streptophyta, Magnoliopsida, Solanales, Solanaceae.
CACAUCAUAGGAAAAAAAGAAACCUAACCGAAAUAAAAGAGACAAAUGCAACCUAUCUAGUUAAAAAGUUCCUUCCCUUCCCCUCCUCUCCUCUAACCUAAAGUUACGCCUAAACAUCAAACUCCACUCAAAUAAUUCUCAUCGGCGCCACACAAUGUAUUCACCCAUCACUGCUUCUUCUUCUUCUCUAGGGUGUGCUACUUACUUUGAAGGCCUCUGGUCACUUUUUAAAUCGAACUCAAAAUCAUCGUGCCUCGAGCCUCGACAAAGGUAAAAUUUUGAUCCCAUAAUUUGGAUGAUUUUAAAGUACAAAUAUUUUUGCAAACUUGAUACAUGUAAAUUUAACUCUGACAUGGCAUACUAAAUCAGACCAAUUGCUCUGUAUUUUUCAAUUAUGGUUUCCUUGUUUAUGGUUUGUUAAUUACUUUGAAUGUUUUUGGUGACUAUAGAUUCCGGAAUACAAUUACCUAGAAUCAUAUUCACAAUCGGCAAAGGUGAUGUUGUUCAAAUAUUUCUUCCGCAGAAGCGUGAGUAGUACAACCUAUAAGAGUUCUAUGGCUAUGCAUCGUCCAUCGAACUAUCAUUUGAGAACCAACAAUUGUUGAGAUCUAAUAGUUAUAAAAAUCACAAAAAUUUACCCUCUAACAAGAACCAUUGCAAAUUAAGAGGCGGUUGUAGUUUUUCCUAACAGGGAGCGAUUAAUAUAUGCGCGGAAAUUCUAUUGAUCCACCUGUUCUGCUAUCAAAGGACAAACAACAGAGAAUACCAAAGGAAUUAGAGUAAGGUAAACACUGUUCUGUGAAUCUUCAUAUCUUUAUUGAAACUGAUAAUUUUAUCAUUAAUGCAAUCUGUACACUUUUCCCAAGAAUUAGGUGAAGAAUUUUUAGAUUUCUCUUGCAUAUGUUUAGAAGAGUUAAUACACUCAAACGUACAUUCAUAAUAUGCAUUCUUGGUAGAUAAGGUCAAUAGGUCACAAAAAUUGGAUAUAUAUUUGCUAUCUUAGUGAAAGAUAAAGUUGUUCAUGGUAUUCCAACAGGUCAUGUAUUUGUCAUCUUUUUUUUGGUUAUUCUUUUAUGUUUCUUUGAUCUUCUUUUGAAGAACUAUUUGACAGAAGUUUGCCACCUCUUUUGGUUUUGACAAGAAGUUACAAAUCUAUUGCUCUUCAAGAUGACACUGUAAGGGAAAGACGUGGACGAUCAAGGAGGAUGACAUAUCUAUAUUCAAUGAUGAAUUUACUGCUCCACUUCACUGUACGAAACUGUAGUAUUAUGCUUUAUUUUAAAUGAGAAAAUUUGUAAUUCCAUUACCUCAAAGCCUAAAGCUCACAAGUGUCAAUUCCUUUGUAACAUUUUGUAUUAUUCACCAAUGGACAAACUAUUCUCGCAAAUUUAAUAUAA